This 140-nucleotide small RNA is filed under the name Camellia sinensis. Its description in RNAcentral is "transcribed RNA". Lineage: Eukaryota; Viridiplantae; Streptophyta; Magnoliopsida; Ericales; Theaceae. The record is from RNAcentral.
UGANGGUUCAGAUCAACAAGCUGUAAGGCAACUGCCACUACAACAAAAAAAGCCUUUGGCGACAGAUUGUUUUUGUCUCCAAACAUCAAAAUUUCGUCACUAAAGUGAUUUGUGACGAAAAAAAUUUAUCACCACGUUCG